UAAAGAUUAUUAAAAUGCACAGUGUGGAUACCUUGGCACAGGAAAAUGGACGUAUAAAAACGAAAAGCCACGCACAAGAAUAAUCUUAGAAACGUGGAUCUCCAAAGGGAAACCAAAUAUAUAUGUAUAAAGUAAAAGGAAACAUCCUAUAGCUUUCAAAAGAAAUCAACAGAGAUUCCGUCAGUAGAGGUGAUCGAAAGCGGUUUAUGCUAUGCUUUGCAAAAAAAAAAUGUUUUCGAAAAAGCUGAAAAGCUUUGUCAAAGAAGGUUAAAACCCUGUAGAAAAUAAUGGUUCUCUAUGAUAAAAAAUUUUAAUAGUUUUGCUGUUAAAAUUUUUUAUCAUGUUUUGGCUAAUGAAUUUAAAAAAAAGUUAAAGGGGUACCACCCUCAACAGCUAAAAAUAUCCUGUGACCGAUAGUGUACAAGUACCAUGAGGGAAAGGUGAAAAGAAGUGUGAAACACUAGUGAAAUAGAACUUGAAACACUGUGCAUAUAUACAGUUUAUAUGUUUAUAUAUAAGUAAUUAUUGUAAAAGAUGUAUAAACGUGCCGCUUGAAUGCUGAGUCAACGAGUAAAUAAAAACAGCAAGCUUAAGCCUUUAGGUGUAGGCGUAUAGACAAAAAAAAAUACUUUGAAUAAAAGUCAAAAGUGGUAAAAAGAGAGUACUACGUACUCUCUUUCAUGCUUUUGACUUUCUUGUGUUAUAUAAAUAGUUGUUUUUAUUUAACCCGAAACCGAAGCGAUCUUUCCAUGAGCAGGUUGACGUCCCAAUAGGAUAAUCCAGGACAGAAGACCGAACUCGUUUAUGUAGCAAUAUAAUGAGAUGACUUGUGGAAAGGAGUGAAAGGCUAAUCAAGCUCGGUCAUAACUGGUUUUUUGCGAAAUGUAUUUAGGUACAGCGGUAUUGUCUUAUUAUACUAUUUUGUAGAGUCACGUCUAUGGAUAGUGAGGUCCUAAGCCUUGUGAACCUUGGACAACUCCAAAGAAAUAGUUUCUUAAUACCAGACAGACUUUGUGCGCAAAGGUGCAAAGUCAAAAGGGAAACAGCCCAGAUCUGCAGCUAAGGUCCUUAAGCGAUUUUCUUAGUGGGAAUCAUGAUAUGUAUGCAUAAAAGACUAGAAGUUAGACUUGGAAGCAGCCAUGCUAUAAUGACAGCGUAACAGCUCACUGGUUUAGCAUGCAUGUCUAUAAUAUUAACGGGUCUAAAGAAAUCCACCGAAGCUCAGAUUCAACUCUUUAAAGAGUUGAAGGUAGCAAAACGUUCUGUAGAUCGUAAAAAAAUUCGGAAACGAAUUUGUAGAUAUCAGAAGUGACUAUGUUGACAUAAGUAACGUUAAAACAAAAGCACCCUAAGAGUUGUAAGAUUCUUAUGGGUGUUGUUGGCCAUAAUUUCAAGGUUUUCUACGCACCGUCAAACGUCGUGGAGUGAUGCGGUCCCUAAGAGAAUGUAUAUAAAAAUACUCUUGAUGGGCAAUAUGCUAUAUAAUAUAUAUUAUAUCUAAGGCUAAAAAAAAUAUUGAAUUAUCUUUUUUAAAUGAGAUAAUUAUGUUUAUUUUUAUAUGUUUUACAGGAAAAUUAUAAUAUAAAAAUCUAGUAAUAUACCGUACUAAAACCGACACUGGUGAGAUAGAUUAAUAAUUCUAAGGCCUAGAGACAACCAUGUUGAAGGAACUCGGCAAAUUACUCACGUGACUUCGGAGGAAGUGAGGCCCUCUUGAUUAUAUCUGAGGGGGUGAAGAUAAACAGAGGACGGCGACUGUUUAACAAAAACACAGGGCUCUGCAAAGUGGAAACACGAAGUAUAGGGCCUGACGCCUGCCCGGUGCAUGUUUAUAACUUAUUUUUUUUUAUGGAAAAGUAAAUAAACGCAUGUAAACGGCAGCGGUAACACUAACCGUUCUAAGGUAGCGAAAUUCCUAGGCGCAUAAUUGGCGUCCUGCAUGAAUGGCGUAACGAUCGUCCUGCUGUCUCCAACAUGGGCUCUGUGAAAUUGAAUUCUUCGUGAAGAUGCGAAGGUCCUGGCAGGGGACGAAGAGACCCUGUGCACCUUAACUAUAAGCUGAGUACUCUUUGAAUCAAAAAAAGUGUAGAAUAGGUGGGAGAAGCUUUACUGUUUCAAAAGUGAAAUACCACUCUUUUUUUAUUUCAAAGAAAAAAAAGAAUAAUAUCUUUUUAUACUUUGCUUGGUAGUAGAUUUGGGGCGAAGUCCCCCUAAAAAGUACCGGGGGAGUUCAAAGGUUAGCCGGGGGUAGAGUAAUCUAUACCCUAUAGCGUAACUGCAUAAGCUAGCUUAACUGUGAGAAAUACCAUUCAAACAGAAACGAAAGUUGGAAGUAGUGACCCAGACAUACGGUGUGGAAGUAUGUCUGCUCAACGGAUAAAAGGUACGCCAGGGAUAACAGGCUAGUGUUCCCCAAGAGUUCAUAUCGACGGGAAUGUUCGGCACCUCGAUGUCGAAUCAUCGCAUCCUGCGGCUGCAAAAGGUCGCAAGGGUUGAACUGUUCGUUCAUUAAAGCGGUACGUGAUUUGGGUUCAGAACGUCAAGACAGUUCGGUUUCUAUCUCUGUCAGGUGUUUAUGACUGCGGGAAAGUUUUUAUAGUACGAAAGGACCAUAAAGACCAAACCUCUGGUGCAUUUGUUGUUUAGGCAUAGCAAAGAAGCUACGUUUGAAUUAUACAUUAAUUAAUAAAUUAAUUAAUUACUAACUGCUGAAAACAUAUGAAGCAGGAAGAAUUUCCUUAAAUAAAGUCACAAAAUUUUUAAACGCUAAACUCUAUGGCGAAAUAGGCGUAAACUCUCCUUCUGUAAAGAAAACGGUA
This 2819-nucleotide ribosomal RNA is filed under the name Stigeoclonium helveticum. RNAcentral's name for it is "large-subunit ribosomal RNA". It matches the Rfam family "Bacterial large subunit ribosomal RNA". Lineage: Eukaryota; Viridiplantae; Chlorophyta; Chlorophyceae; Chaetophorales; Chaetophoraceae. The record is from RNAcentral.